GAUGAAGUGCCUGAAAAAAAAGGAUUAUUUUGAUAGAAUAAAAAAUGUAAAUAUAUUUACCUUCAUUU
This 68-nucleotide transfer RNA is filed under the name Trichiosoma vitellina. RNAcentral describes it as "tRNA-Ile". The record is from RNAcentral. Lineage: Eukaryota; Metazoa; Arthropoda; Insecta; Hymenoptera; Cimbicidae.